Molecule: ribosomal RNA, 460 nt
Filed under: uncultured bacterium
Lineage: Bacteria
Description: partial 16S ribosomal RNA
Rfam family: Bacterial small subunit ribosomal RNA
Source: RNAcentral
CCUACGGGAGGCAGCAGUGAGGACUAUUGGUCAAUGGGCGGAAGCCUGAACCAGCCAAGUAGCGUGCAGGAUGACUGCCCUCCGGGUUGUAAACUGCUUUUAUACGGGAAUAAUGAGCCUUACGUGUAGGGCUUUGCAUGUACCGUAUGAAUAAGGACCGGCUAAUUCCGUGCCCGCAGCCGCGGUAAUACGGAAGGUCCGAGCGGUAUCCGGAUUUAUUGGGUUUAAAGGGAUCGUAGGCUGUAUGUCAAGCGUGCUGUGAAAUGUCCGGGCUUAACCCGGGUCUUGCCGCGCGAACUGGCGUGCUUGAGUCCGCGGAAAGCAGGCGGAAUACGUCGAGUAGCGGUGAAAUGCUUAGAUAUGACGUAGAACCCCGAUUGCGAAGGCAGCUUGCUGCAGCGGAACUGAUGCUGAUGCUCGAGAGCGCGGGUAUCGAACAGGAUUAGAUACCCUAGUAGUC